CGGGUGAGUAACGCGUGGAUAACCUGCCUCACACUGGGGGAUAACAGUUAGAAAUGACUGCUAAUACCGCAUAAGCGCACAGUACCGCAUGGUACAGCGUGAAAAACUCCGGUGGUGUGAGAUGGAUCCGCGUCUGAUUAGCCAGUUGGCGGGGUAACGGCCCACCAAAGCGACGAUCAGUAGCCGACCUGAGAGGGUGACCGGCCACAUUGGGACUGAGACACGGCCCAA
Molecule: ribosomal RNA, 231 nt
Filed under: uncultured bacterium
Lineage: Bacteria
Description: partial 16S ribosomal RNA
Rfam family: Bacterial small subunit ribosomal RNA
Source: RNAcentral